Molecule: ribosomal RNA, 922 nt
Filed under: uncultured Bacteroidota bacterium
Lineage: Bacteria; Pseudomonadati; Bacteroidota
Description: bacterial SSU rRNA
Rfam family: Bacterial small subunit ribosomal RNA
Source: RNAcentral
GGAUCCAGACUUUGAUUCUGGCUCAGGAUGAACGCUAGCUACAGGCUUAACACAUGCAAGUCGAGGGGCAGCAUGGUCUUAGCUUGCUAAGGCCGAUGGCGACCGGCGCACGGGUGAGUAACACGUAUCCAACUUGCCGUCUACUCUUGGACAGCCUUCUGAAAGGAAGAUUAAUACAAGAUGGCAUCAUGAGUCCGCAUGUUCACAUGAUUAAAGGUAUUCCGGUAGACGAUGGGGAUGCGUUCCAUUAGAUAGUAGGCGGGGUAACGGCCCACCUAGUCUUCGAUGGAUAGGGGUUCUGAGAGGAAGGUCCCCCACAUUGGAACUGAGACACGGUCCAAACUCCUACGGGAGGCAGCAGUGAGGAAUAUUGGUCAAUGGGCGAGAGCCUGAACCAGCCAAGUAGCGUGAAGGAUGACUGCCCUAUGGGUUGUAAACUUCUUUUAUAAAGGAAUAAAGUCGGGUAUGCAUACCCGUUUGCAUGUACUUUAUGAAUAAGGAUCGGCUAACUCCGUGCCAGCAGCCGCGGUAAUACGGAGGAUCCGAGCGUUAUCCGGAUUUAUUGGGUUUAAAGGGAGCGUAGAUGGAUGUUUAAGUCAGUUGUGAAAGUUUGCGGCUCAACCGUAAAAUUGCAGUUGAUACUGGAUAUCUUGAGUGCAGUUGAGGCAGGCGGAAUUCGUGGUGUAGCGGUGAAAUGCUUAGAUAUCACGAAGAACUCCGAUUGCGAAGGCAGCCUGCUAAGCUGCAACUGACAUUGAGGCUCGAAAGUGUGGGUAUCAAACAGGAUUAGAUACCCUGGUAGUCCACACGGUAAACGAUGAAUACUCGCUGUUUGCGAUAUACAGCAAGCGGCCAAGCGAAAGCGUUAAGUAUUCCACCUGGGGAGUACGCCGGCAACGGUGCAACUCAAAUGAAUUGACGG